CGUGGCUAACCUGCCCUUGGGACGGAAGCACCCCCGGGAAACUGGGGCUAAUUUCCGAUAGGGGAAGACUCCUGGAAUGGAUUUUCGCCUAAAAGGCGCUUAGAGCAUGCUUCUAGGCGUUGCCCAAGGAUGGGGCCGCGGCCGAUCAGGUUGUUGGUGAGGUAACGGCUCACCAAGCCUUUAACCGGUGCGGGCCGUGGGAGCGGGAGCCCGGAGAUGGGCACUGAGACAAGGGCCCAGGCCCUAUGGGGCGCAGCAGUCGCGAAAACUUCGCAAUAAGCGAAAGCUUGACGGGGCUAUCCCGAGUGCCAUCCGCUGAGGAUGGCUUUUCCCUAGUAUAGAUAGCUGGGGGAAAAAGGAGAGGGCAAGUCUGGUGUCAGCCGCCGCGGUAAUACCAGCUCUCCGAGUGGUGGGGAUGAUUAUUGGGCCUAAAGCAUCCGUAGCCGGCUGGGCAAGUCCCCUGUUAAACCCAGCGAUCUAAUCGUUGGCCUGCGGGGGAUACUGCUUGGCUAGGGGGCGAGAGAGGCCGUCGGUAUUCCCGGGGUAGGGGUGAAAUCCUAUAAUCCCGGGAGGACCACCAGUGGCGAAGGCUGUCGGCUAGAACGCGCCCGACGGUGAGGGAUGAAAGCUGGGGGAGCGAACCGGAUUAGAUACCCGGGUAGUCCCAGCUGU
RNAcentral lists this ribosomal RNA (672 nucleotides) under uncultured archaeon. RNAcentral's name for it is "bacterial SSU rRNA". It matches the Rfam family "Archaeal small subunit ribosomal RNA", at positions 99 to 754 of the family's 1478-position model. The record is from RNAcentral.